UAGUCCACGCCGUAAACGAUGUCCACUAGCCGUUGGGAGGCAUGACCUCUUGGUGGCGCAGCUAACGCGAUAAGUGGACCGCCUGGGGAGUACGGCCGCAAGGUUAAAACUCAAAUGAAUUGACGGGGGCCCGCACAAGCGGUGGAGCAUGUGGUUUAAUUCGAUGCAACGCGAAGAACCUUACCUGCCCUUGACAUCCUCGGAACUUGUCAGAGAUGACUUGGUGCCUUCGGGAACCGAGUGACAGGUGCUGCAUGGCUGUCGUCGGCUCGUGUCGUGAGAUGUUGGGUUAAGUCCCGUAACGAGCGCAACCCUUGUCCUUAGUUGCCAGCGUGUAAUGGCGGGCACUUUAAGGAGACUGCCGGUGACAAACCGGAGGAAGGUGGGGACGACGUCAAGUCAUCAUGGCCCUUACGGGCAGGGCUACACACGUGCUACAAUGGCCGGUACAGAGGGCUGCGAAAGCGCGAGCCGGAGCCAAUCUCAGAAAACCGGUCGUAGUCCGGA
This 507-nucleotide ribosomal RNA is filed under the name uncultured bacterium. RNAcentral describes it as "bacterial SSU rRNA". It matches the Rfam family "Bacterial small subunit ribosomal RNA", at positions 791 to 1297 of the family's 1533-position model. The record is from RNAcentral.